UCUUUUUCUGGGCAUAGCUCAGACAUCAACUAGCAAUCCUGAGAGUGGAUGUUUCAAGCUUUGGAAAUUACCUUCUUAAUAAGGUCUUACACUGGAUAGAGUACAGAGCCAAGAAUUAGGAAGACCUGAGUUGAAAUUUCAUCACUCUGGGCAUGUAUAUUCAAGAAUGUUUGGAGACCACUGGGCUGGAAGUCAUUCCAUCUCUAAUAUUUACUAGAUGUCUUCAAGUGAAGACUGGAUGGAUGACUACUCAGAGAUUCCUGUUUGAGCAUUGCCUCUGGAUUUCCUUCCAAUUCUGAGAUUCUAGGCUGUGUGAUCCCAAGAACACUUAGAGAUGAAACUGGAAGGAAGAUAACAAAUGGAAACAUACUUGUUCUUCUCUAUCAACACAUUUUCAUCAUUUACAGCAGUGAAGCCACCACAUCUGAACUUGAAUACCACAAUACCAGAAGCACCAAGUGAAGAAGGGGGAAGUGGAGAGGCUGAAGUUGCAGAAGAGUUGUGGGAUCUAAGUAUGCAGAAGAAAUCUAUGCUGGAAGCAACACAAAUUUGAUGGCAUUUGAAUACCAAUUUCCAAGAGAUUACAAAGAGAAGAUAUCAAAAUAAUAAAAAAAAAUCAUGGAGGGCAUAAAUAUUUUUUAAAAGGUUACCAAUUAUACAUCAGUCUUCUGACUAACCUAUCUGCUUGCUUUUUCAUCUCCAUAAAAUCUUUGAGUAUGAUCUAUAAAGGUUGCUAAAAGACAUGAGAACAGAUGAGGUUUUGCAGAUGAUUCUCUGAAACAGACUGUAUGUGUAGUGAUAAAACCAAUGGAAAUGUGUAGAGAAGUCAAGGACCCACUGUACUGUUUGAUUACAAAAAAGCACGAAAACAUUUGACUUGGAAGAAUGAAAUAAGUACGUAUGUUCAUAUUAUGUCAACUCCUAACUAGAUACAUCUGCAGAGAUGACUGUUCAAGCAAUCUUCUGAUGAUCAAUAUUAAGUGAAGCAAAAGCCAGGGAGACAUUUGAGUCAAAGGUACUCAGUAAUGGACUUACAGAUGUUGUUUAUUUCCUCUAUUAUUACAUCAACUCAUUCAGUGGAUGUUGGACAAAGUCUUCUCAUGUACAAACAGUUAUACUGUUUGUAGAUGGUCUCAAAGUUGUGCGAUUCUUAGCAUUUUUUUGUGUCCUUUUCCAUUAGUCAGCAGUGAUCACUGUGACGACUGCAAAGAGCACACAGGACCUCGUGCCAUUUUGUUCUUUUAUUCUGUUUUUUUGCCAUCACCAAAGAAUCUAUCACCUAGUGACUGACCAGCUGGUAAGGAGGCUCUUUGCACUUAAGUGUUGGUUUUUUCUCCUUUGUUUUCAAAGAGGACCAAUGAUAUACACACUUGUGUGUGAAUUAGAUUUAAGUGAGACA
This is a non-coding RNA of Phascolarctos cinereus (koala), 1399 nucleotides long. Lineage: Eukaryota; Metazoa; Chordata; Mammalia; Diprotodontia; Phascolarctidae. The record is from RefSeq and is a predicted model, not a curated record.